GAUGAACGCUAGCGGCAGGCCUAAUACAUGCAAGUCGAACGGGAUCCAGAUCAAAGCUUGCUUUGGUUUGGUGAGAGUGGCGUACGGGUGCGUAACGCGUGAGCAACCUACCCUUGUCAGGGGGAUAGCCCGGCGAAAGUCGGAUUAAUACCGCAUGACAUCAUUGAGAGGCAUCUUUCGAUGAUCAAAGAUUUAUCGGACAAGGAUGGGCUCGCGUGACAUUAGCUAGUUGGUAAGGUAACGGCUUACCAAGGCUACGAUGUCUAGGGGCUCUGAGAGGAGAAUCCCCCACACUGGUACUGAGACACGGACCAGACUCCUACGGGAGGCAGCAGUAAGGAAUAUUGGUCAAGGGACGGAAGUCUGAACCAGCCAUGCCGCGUGCAGGAAGACGGCCCUAUGGGUUGUAAACUGCUUUUAUACGGGAACAAACGUCGGUACGUGUACCGGUCUGAGUGUACCGUAAGAAUAAGGAUCGGCUAACUCCGUG
RNAcentral lists this ribosomal RNA (490 nucleotides) under uncultured bacterium. Its description in RNAcentral is "partial 16S ribosomal RNA". It matches the Rfam family "Bacterial small subunit ribosomal RNA", at positions 28 to 507 of the family's 1533-position model. The record is from RNAcentral.